ACGGGAGGCAGCAGUGGGGAAUAUUGCACAAUGGGGGAAACCCUGAUGCAGCGACGCCGCGUGAAGGAAGAAGUAUCUCGGUAUGUAAACUUCUAUCAGCAGGGAAGAUAAUGACGGUACCUGACUAAGAAGCCCCGGCUAACUACGUGCCAGCAGCCGCGGUAAUACGUAGGGGGCAAGCGUUAUCCGGAUUUACUGGGUGUAAAGGGAGCGUAGACGGAAUGGCAAGUCUGGUGUGAAAGGCAUGGGCUCAACCUGUGGACUGCACUGGAAACUGUCGUUCUUGAGUGCCGGAGGGGUAAGCGGAAUUCCUAGUGUAGCGGUGAAAUGCGUAGAUAUUAGGAGGAACACCAGUGGCGAAGGCGGUUAGCUGGACAAUAACUGACGCUGAGGCGCGAAAGCGUGGGUAGCAAACAGGAUUAGAUACCCUGGUA
RNAcentral lists this ribosomal RNA (434 nucleotides) under uncultured Blautia sp. RNAcentral's name for it is "bacterial SSU rRNA". It matches the Rfam family "Bacterial small subunit ribosomal RNA", at positions 341 to 792 of the family's 1533-position model. Lineage: Bacteria; Bacillati; Bacillota; Clostridia; Lachnospirales; Lachnospiraceae. The record is from RNAcentral.